GACGAACGCUGGCGGCGUGCCUAAUACAUGCAAGUCGUGCGGACCUUGUUGAAAGCUUGCUUUUAAAAGGUUAGCGGCGGACGGGGGAGUAACACGUGGGCAACCUGCCUGUAAGACUGGGAUAACGCCGGGAAACCGGGGCUAAUACCAGAUCGUUUUUUCCUCCGCAUGGAGGAAAAAGGACAGGCGGCUUCGGCUGCCAUUUACAGAUGGGCCCGCGGCGCAUUAGCUAGUUGGCGGGGUAACGGCCCACCAAGGCAACGCUGGUUAGCCGGCCUGAAGGGGUGAACGGCCACAUUGGGAAUGGGACACGGCCCCAACUUCCACGGGGGGCAGCAGUAGGGGAUCUUCCGCAAUGGGCGAAAGUCUGACGGAGCAACGCCGCGGGAGUGAAGGAGGCCUUCGGGUCGUAAAACUCUGUUGCCGGGGAAGAACAAGUGCCGUUCGAACAGGGCGGCGCCUUGACGGUACCCGGCGAGAAAGCCACGGCUAACUACGUG
This 500-nucleotide ribosomal RNA is filed under the name uncultured bacterium. Its description in RNAcentral is "partial 16S ribosomal RNA". It matches the Rfam family "Bacterial small subunit ribosomal RNA", at positions 28 to 507 of the family's 1533-position model. The record is from RNAcentral.